This 495-nucleotide ribosomal RNA is filed under the name uncultured bacterium. RNAcentral's name for it is "partial 16S ribosomal RNA". It matches the Rfam family "Bacterial small subunit ribosomal RNA", at positions 28 to 507 of the family's 1533-position model. The record is from RNAcentral.
GACGAACGCUGGCGGCGUGCCUAAUACAUGCAAGUAGAACGCUGAAGGAGGAGCUUGCUUCUCUGGAUGAGUUGCGAACGGGUGAGUAACGCGUAGGUAACCUGCCUGGUAGCGGGGGAUAACUAUUGGAAACGAUAGCUAAUACCGCAUAAGAGUAGAUGUUGCAUGACAUUUGCUUAAAAGGUGCAAUUGCAUCACUACCAGAUGGACCUGCGUUGUAUUAGCUAGUUGGUGGGGUAACGGCUCACCAAGGCGACGAUACAUAGCCGACCUGAGAGGGUGAUCGGCCACACUGGGGCUGAGACACGGCCCAGACUCCUACGGGAGGCAGCAGUAGGGAAUCUUCGGCAAUGGACGGAAGUCUGACCGAGCAACGCCGCGUGAGUGAAGAAGGUUUUCGGAUCGUAAAGCUCUGUUGUAAGAGAAGAACGAGUGUGAGAGUGGAAAGUUCACACUGUGACGGUAUCUUACCAGAAAGAGACGGCUAACUACGUG